Asparagus officinalis (garden asparagus) is the source of this 856-nucleotide long non-coding RNA. RefSeq lists it as uncharacterized. The record is from RefSeq and is a predicted model, not a curated record. The transcript is spliced from 4 exons. Lineage: Eukaryota; Viridiplantae; Streptophyta; Magnoliopsida; Asparagales; Asparagaceae.
AUCUCUCUCCGCCGCCAUCUCCAACGGCGACGACCUCUCCCCCUUCAUCCGCCGCUUCUUCGCCCAGUUCAAGCCCGAGGCCCUCCUCCACAACCUCCGCCUCUUCGCCCGAUCCAAGGAGUCCGAGAUCGAGUCCGUCUGCAAAGUUCACUACCAGGACUUCAAUCGCGCCUUCGACGACCUCCGCUCCCUCCUCUCCAAGGCCGAAACCCUAAAAAGCUCGAUCUCUGACUCCAACUACACUAUCCAGUUCGUCGGUGGCCCGCUCCUGGUGUCGCUCACCCCCUAAUUCUCAAUAACCCUCUCGAUAAACAGGUUGUUUGAUCUCUCAACGACCCUCUUGAUUCCUUUCUCUCAAAUGGAGACAGAUUUGAUGAGUUCUCAUUAGGACAAUGACGAUGAGUACGAAAUAUUCAAUCAGAGAAUGAACCCACCAAGGACGCCUCAAUAUUCGACCGUCUCCCUCAAUUGAUUGUCUUAUGGAAAAUGUUGCUUUGGAGAUUGGAACCCCUAUGGAUGCUUGGUGGAGUGAUGGGCAGUGGGAAGGCAUUGUAACUGGAGUAGAGAGCUGUAGAGAGCUCCGGAAAUGACAGUGUACAAGUCUAUUUUCCAGGUUGCCAGCAUUAAGCUAUCAACUAUCUCUGCCCACAUAAGCUAAAGACGACACAGAUUUACAUACCUCUGAUUUUCAGACUCCUCUCAUUGUUCAAAACCUUUUUAUAUUCCUAUAUUUCACUGUAAGAAAGGCACACCAAGCUUGCCCAGACUAAAUAUCUAAUUUGGGAAUUUUCUCUGCCUUUUUUUUUUGAUGUUUUACAGCAUUUAUUCAUCAAUUAUCAUGGUUUUCUUUCCUUUU